Molecule: unclassified non-coding RNA, 306 nt
Filed under: Hevea brasiliensis (rubber tree)
Lineage: Eukaryota; Viridiplantae; Streptophyta; Magnoliopsida; Malpighiales; Euphorbiaceae
Source: RNAcentral
UUUUAUCUGUUCAUAUCCAUAAAUUUCAUCACUCACUUCUCAUAGAUUUUUUUUUUUUAUUUUUUUGGAAGAGCAUGGAAACUAAGCCUAUAAUCAUCUAACAAAUGGAAGUUAUUGGUAGAUAUCAACAACAGGCAGCAACCCCUACAAAUCUACCAGCAGCUUAACCACAGAAUUAAUUUUGGUACUCACAAGAAGUAACAAGGAUUCAAACAUGUAGUGUACCAGCAAAAAUUGUCCCUCCUUUGUUAUUCACACAUGGAUGAGGCAAAAAACUUUUAAAUAGACAUUCUCCUUAUAUGUGUG